This 839-nucleotide non-coding RNA is filed under the name Solanum tuberosum (potato). RNAcentral's name for it is "Eukaryotic small subunit ribosomal RNA". It matches the Rfam family "Eukaryotic small subunit ribosomal RNA", at positions 4 to 854 of the family's 1831-position model. Lineage: Eukaryota; Viridiplantae; Streptophyta; Magnoliopsida; Solanales; Solanaceae. The record is from Rfam by way of RNAcentral.
UUGGUUGAUCCUUCUAGUAGUCAUAUGGUUGUCUCAAAGAUUAAGCUGUGCUUAUGUAAGUAUAAACAAAUUCAUACUGUGCAACUACGAAUGGCUCAUUCAAUCAGUUAUACUUUGUUUGAUGGUAUCUACUACUCGGAUAACCAUAGUAAUUCUAGAGCUAAUAUGUGCAAAAACCACGAUAUGUGGAAGGGAUACAUUUAUUAGAUAAAAGGUCGACGCGGGAUCAGCCCAUUAUCGCGAUGAUUCAUGAUAACUCGACGGAUCACAGACCAUCAUGACGGUGACGCAUCAUUUUAAUUUCUGCUCGAUCAACUUUCGAUGGUAGGAUAGUGGCCUACGAUGGUAGUGACAGGUGAUGGAGAAUUAGGGUUCGAUUCCUGAGAGGGAGCCUGAGAAAUGACUACCACAUCCAAGGAAGGCCGUAGGUGCGCAAAUUACACAAUUCUGACACGGGGAGGUAGUGACAAUAAAUAACAGUAUUGGGCUCUACUAGUUUGGUAAUUGGAAUGAGUACAAUCUAAAUCCCUUAACGAGGAUCCAUUGGAGGGCAAGUCAAGUGCUAGGAGUCGCGGUAAUUCGUGCUCCAAUAGCGUAUAUUUAAGUUGUUGUAGUUAAAAAGCUCGUAGUUGGACUUUGGGAUGGGUCGGUUGGUUCAUCCUAGGUGUGCACCGGUCGUCUCAUCCCUUCUGUAGGCGAUGCGCUCCUGGCCUUAAUUGGCUGGGUUAUGCCUCCGGCGCUUUUGCUGUGAACAAAUUAGAAGGCUCAAAGCAAUCAUACGCUCUGUAUACAAAUUCGAUAGAUGCAGUGGGCAUGGGGCCUUCACCGAAUCCUAUCUA